AUGCGGACGUGGAUAUAACCGUUGUAGGUUUUCUGAUUUUUCCUUCUUUUUUUUUAGUAUUUAUCUCUUUCCCCUUUAUAUUCCCCCUCCCCUGCUUCUUAUUGUUUUGCGAUUAAUUCCCAAAAAAAUCUCCAUCCCCUGCUCCUUAUUGUUCUUCGAUUAAUUCUAAAAAAUCCCCCAAAAUUACAACCCUUCUCUUCUCACAUCCUUCUAUUGUAAUCUAAUCUCAAUUUUAGGAUAAUGCGGCAACAUUCAUCUGGAUCAAGUUCAUCUUCAAACUCUAGGGGAGUUGCAGACCCUGUAAUUAAAUGCAAUUGUGGGAGGAAUGUUGUGCCAAGGACAGUGAAGAAGGGGGUAAAUGUGGGAAGGAAGUUUUAUGGCUGCCCAUUUUGGCUCGAUACUCAGUGUGCAAUGUUUAGGUGGAUCUCAGACAUAAACGAUGGUGAAGAUGUUUAAUAUCAGAUACUCGAGAGAGACACAACCAUUGCUGAAUUGGAGCAUGAAAAAAAAAAUGUUGGAAGAGAAGAUAAAGAAAUUACAAGUGAAAAAGGAAAAUUUAGAGGAAUAUCUGCAAGAAUUUAAGACUGAACUUGGCCAAAUUAGGAUAGAAUUAUUGAGGUGCUCAAGGAAUGAGAAGAACUUUUCAAUGGCACUUCUAUUUUCUUGAAUUUUCUUUGCGUUUCUUCUUUUCUAUUUAAAGUAGAUAGUAGUAUGUCUGUUGUGUAACAAGAAUGUGCAAGUGCCAUUGACAGUUAUGUUAUAUGCUUUUCUGCCUUAUGGUAUUAAAUAAAGAGUUGGAUUUUGUUGAAA
Molecule: long non-coding RNA, 810 nt
Organism: Chenopodium quinoa (quinoa)
Lineage: Eukaryota; Viridiplantae; Streptophyta; Magnoliopsida; Caryophyllales; Amaranthaceae
Exons: 2
Source: RefSeq, a predicted model, not a curated record